Macaca mulatta (Rhesus monkey) is the source of this 485-nucleotide non-coding RNA. Lineage: Eukaryota; Metazoa; Chordata; Mammalia; Primates; Cercopithecidae. The record is from RefSeq and is a predicted model, not a curated record.
AAAUGUUUUCUUCAGACUUGUUUAACUGCUGCGUAUAUACAUUCACCCUGCGAGAAGAGGAAAACAACAUUCAAUUUCAGUAGGGCAAUUGUAGCUCUAAGGCACAGUUAUCCAGAGACCUCACUGGCAGAGGCUGAUGAAGAGGUGAAUUAGGGACAAGAGAACACACAGCACAAAGGACUUCUGGAAUUUCAUCAGAGUUCUCUCCCCAGACGACAUGACUGGAACAUCAACUCUCUGAUGCUGUUGGGAAAUAAUCAGUAUUUAUGAAGUUGGCAGUACAUGCCACACUGGAUGCACCCACAUGCCCUGAAUCUUAUGGCUUUGUUAUGGAAGCAAAAGAAGUCAGCAUGAUCUCCAUUACCAACUGUCCGCCUCUUAAAGGAUAAAGUCUUCCCUUGGAUCACCAGAGCUCCCCAUCUCACUAAGUUUACGCUAAGGGAUGGUGAGGCAGGAUUUGGAAUCUUCCAGAAGUUCAUUCAGUG